RNAcentral lists this ribosomal RNA (242 nucleotides) under uncultured bacterium. RNAcentral describes it as "partial 16S ribosomal RNA". It matches the Rfam family "Bacterial small subunit ribosomal RNA", at positions 113 to 353 of the family's 1533-position model. The record is from RNAcentral.
ACGCGUGGGUAACCUGCCUUGUACUGGGGGAUAGCAGCUGGAAACGGCUGGUAAUACCGCAUAAGCGCACAAUGUUGCAUGACAUGGUGUGAAAAACUCCGGUGGUAUAAGAUGGACCCGCGUCUGAUUAGCUAGUUGGUGAGAUAACAGCCCACCAAGGCGACGAUCAGUAGCCGACCUGAGAGGGUGACCGGCCACAUUGGGACUGAGACACGGCCCAGACUCCUACGGGAGGCAGCAUG